This 253-nucleotide ribosomal RNA is filed under the name uncultured bacterium. RNAcentral's name for it is "partial 16S ribosomal RNA". It matches the Rfam family "Bacterial small subunit ribosomal RNA", at positions 524 to 776 of the family's 1533-position model. The record is from RNAcentral.
UACAGAGGGUGCGAGCGUUAAUCGGAAUUACUGGGCGUAAAGCGCGCGUAGGCGGCUUUGCAAGUCGGGUGUGAAAUCCCCAAGCUUAACUUGGGAACUGCAUUCGAGACUGCAUUGCUAGAGUAUGGGAGAGGGAAGUGGAAUUUCCGGUGUAGCGGUGAAAUGCGUAGAUAUCGGAAGGAACAUCAGUGGCGAAGGCGACUUACUGGACAACUGUUGACGCUGAGGUGCGAAAGCGUGGGGAGCAAACAGG